UCCAGCACAGGCGGCACAUUUUUUGCUGCAACACCAGAAAAUGAAGCCCGCGUGUCAGCAGACGGGAGUGGGUCGUGAAGCUCCUGCGGAAGACAGGAUGUUGCCAGAAAAAUGUCUGGGUUGUCCACAGGAGUAGCAGGCCUGUGAGCCAGACACUACAACACAAUUAAUAAAUGGCCAUGGAACAAUUACUCCUUUGUCGACCAGUAAUAAAAUGGCAGGUGGAAAUUCAAUGUCGGGGAAUUGAAUCACAGAACCAUUAAGGUUGGAAAAGACCUUCAAGAUCAUUGAGUCUGACCUUUGACAGAAGUUGAUGUUGUCAACUAAACCACAGAACUAAGCACCAUGUUCAGUUGUUUCUCAAACAGCUCCAGGGUUGGUGACUUCACCACCUCCCUGAAUUAUGAUUUUAAAAAUUUAAGACUUUAGCUGAGAGUUAGAACCAAUUCAUAUUGAAGUUAGAUAUACCAAUGAUAAGUUAAUGAUUAUUAGAUGCUUAAGCUAAUUGUUAUAUUAUGAGCUUAUUUAUAGAAGGAAGUGCAGCAAGUGAACCAUUAUAGGAAUAUAUGGAAACCAGUAAAACAAUGCCCAGCACCUGGACUCUAUGUCAAUCCAUCACAAAGCAAAGGGCCUUGGAUUGUGCCAGAGGGUCACAGAGACCUGACGAAGACCUUCUUGACUUCAUCGCUGGGAUCCCUGACCCAACUGGAGACCAACCCAACUCAUGAGAAGAACUGUGCAUGCAUGAAGGACCAAUAACCUCAUUUUAAUACAAAGCAGGAAUGGGAGGUGCUGCAGUUAUGCAUAUGUAUUAUUUUGGGAAAUAAAUAGAAGGCAAAAAUCCUUGUGUGGGACGGUCACGCAUUUUGGGAAUGACCCCCCUGCCCCGUGCCACCCUCUGGCAUAAUAAACAUACCAGUUUCUAACUUUAACUAGUUAGAGAGUUGUCCUGGUUUAGGGUAAAUUUGGGAGAAAACCUCCAAAGGGGGCCCCUCCAGAAGGCAAACCCACACGGCUCGUCCCCACAACCGGUUUGAGAAAGAUUCCUCAGAGAGAAGUGGAAAGAACCUGUUUAUUUAACAGGCAAAGCAUCCCCAGCACACAGA
Molecule: long non-coding RNA, 1106 nt
Organism: Passer domesticus (house sparrow)
Lineage: Eukaryota; Metazoa; Chordata; Aves; Passeriformes; Passeridae
Exons: 3
Source: RefSeq, a predicted model, not a curated record